CACCUCUAGCAUUUCCAGUAUUAGAGGCACUGCCUGCCCAGUGACAUCUGUUUAAACGGCCGCGGUAUCCUAACCGUGCAAAGGUAGCAUAAUCACUUGUUCCCUAAAUAGGGACUUGUAUGAAUGGCCACACGAGGGUUUUACUGUCUCUUACUUCCAAUCAGUGAAAUUGACCUUCCCGUGAAGAGGCGGGAAUGACUAAAUAAGACGAGAAGACCCUAUGGAGCUUUAAUUAACUGAUUCACAAAAAACAACACACAAACCUAACCUUCAGGGACAACAAAACUUUUGAUUGAAUCAGCAAUUUCGGUUGGGGUGACCUCGGAGAACAAAACAACCUCCGAGUGAUUUAAAUCCAGACUAACCAGUCAAAAUAUAUAAUCACUUAUUGAUCCAAACCAUUGAUCAACGGAACAAGUUGCCCUAGGGAUAACAGCGCAAUCCUAUUCCAGAGUCCAUAUCGACAAUUAGGGUUUACGACCUCGAUGUUGGAUCAAGACAUCCUAAUGGUGCAACCGCUAUUAAGGGUUCGUUUGUUCAACGAUUAAAGUCUUACGU
Molecule: ribosomal RNA, 558 nt
Filed under: Equus caballus (horse)
Lineage: Eukaryota; Metazoa; Chordata; Mammalia; Perissodactyla; Equidae
Description: partial 16S ribosomal RNA
Rfam family: Bacterial large subunit ribosomal RNA
Source: RNAcentral